Molecule: ribosomal RNA, 506 nt
Filed under: uncultured bacterium
Lineage: Bacteria
Description: partial 16S ribosomal RNA
Rfam family: Bacterial small subunit ribosomal RNA
Source: RNAcentral
AGUGAACGCUGGCGGUAGGCCUAACACAUGCAAGUCGCACGGCAGCACAGGAGAGCUUGCUCUCUGGGUGGCGAGUGGCGGACGGGUGAGGAAUACAUCGGAAUCUACUCUGUCGUGGGGGAUAACGUAGGGAAACUUACGCUAAUACCGCCUACGACCUCCGGGUGAAAGCAGGGGACCUUCGGGCCUUGCGCGAUUGACUGAGCCGAUGUCGGAUUAGCUAGUUGGCGGGGUAAAGGCCCACCAAGGCGACGAUCCGUAGCUGGUCUGAGAGGAUGAACAGCCACACUGGAACUGAGACACGGUCCAGACUCCUACGGGAGGCAGCAGUGGGGAAUAUUGGACAAUGGGCGCAAGCCUGAUCCAGCCAUACCGCGUGGGUGAAGAAGGCCUUCGGGUUGUAAAGCCCUUUUGUUGGGAAAGAAAUCCAGCUGGCUAAUACCCGGUUGGGAUGACGGUACCCAAAGAAUAAGCACCGGCUAACUUCGUGCCAGCAGCCGCCGUAA